RNAcentral lists this ribosomal RNA (281 nucleotides) under uncultured prokaryote. Its description in RNAcentral is "partial 16S ribosomal RNA". It matches the Rfam family "Bacterial small subunit ribosomal RNA", at positions 524 to 803 of the family's 1533-position model. The record is from RNAcentral.
UACGUAGGGGCGUAGCGUUAUCCGGAAUUACUGGGCGUAAAGGGUGCGUAGGUGGUUUCUUAAGUCAGAGGUGAAAGGCUACGGCUCAACCGUAGUAAGCCUUUGAAACUGAGAAACUUGAGUGCAGGAGAGGAGAGUAGAAUUCCUAGUGUAGCGGUGAAAUGCGUAGAUAUUAGGAGGAAUACCAGUUGCGAAGGCGGCUCUCUGGACUGUAACUGACACUGAGGCACGAAAGCGUGGGGAGCAAACAGGAUUAGAUACCCCGGUAGUCCCUGAGCGGG